Ziziphus jujuba (common jujube) is the source of this 86-nucleotide small nucleolar RNA. The record is from RefSeq and is a predicted model, not a curated record. Lineage: Eukaryota; Viridiplantae; Streptophyta; Magnoliopsida; Rosales; Rhamnaceae.
UUUGGGCAUGUGAUGAGUCUUGUUGUGUUUAAUGGGUAAUUUGCGUCUGAAAUUGACAUUGAUGCUAUAUAUUUUGGAUGUCCUUU